CACAGUAGACCAAGUUAUUUGAGUCCUGAGUGCUGUUAAAUGCUCGCUUGCCUUUAUUUACACUGUGCUAGAACAUGAUGUUCAUCAGGAGAUUUGGUGUAGGAGAGAGUCCCCCACGGCCAAGAACAGCAGGGGCUGCCAGCCAUCCUCCUGAAACCACAGCAGAGCCAAGAGUGGGAGCUUGUUCACACUUCGACUGCAUGGAUUUGCAACUUCAGUUUAAUAGGCUCAACAGUGCCGACACCAAACAAAUCCCUCCCUGUCCCAGAAGCAGCCCGGCUUCUGGGCUGAGCUACUAAGAAAGAAUUUGCUUAUAAUAUGAAGCCUGGAACCUGGAUAGGAGUCCACUUACUGUGGGUAUGUGUUGGUUCAUGUGCUCACUUCAAAGAGUCUACCAGUGCUUCACCCAUCUCUGCUUUUCUGGUAUCCAGAGGCUCCCAGUUUUCAGGCCGACGGUCUAUCCACUGAGCCACACCAGUUAGAGCCCCCUUCUGACUUUCUGAGCUCACCCCAGGAGGAGCUGAAUCAUCCCAGGACCACCAAAGAUAAGAUGAAAAGAUCAUAGAAAUUGAUGUCUGGACAGCUGAGAUGACCUCCUGGUUCCACACAUCUGAUACUUGAAGGAUCUCAAUUUCAUCGUUUCUAAAAUAUGGGUAACAAAACUACCUUGCUUACCUCUCAUGAGGGUCAAAUAAGCUCAACCAUGGAUAGGUUUUCGUAAAUGACACUUUGCUAGGGGAUUAUUGGGGGCAGGAGAAGAAACAUCCUGUCAAGAAUCAACCAGGCAGAAGCUUCAAAAGAGGCCAGCAUCUUCCACUGCUCAUUGCCCCUGAGAUUUCUAAGUGGACAAAAUUACUUGGGCAAACAUCACAAGUAUGCUAGGGAGAUGUGAGGCUUCCCAGGAUGGCUGAGUGCCCCCCACUCUACCCGGGAUGAAGGCUUGGACAAUUCUUGACAAGUGAGCAGACCAGCUAAAUGGUGCCAACAGUGACUGAUGGGCAAGUUCCGAUUCAGCAACCAGAGCAGCUUAAGGGCACUACAAUAGUUCUCAGAUGAAAGACUCAAGAGCAAUGAGCAAUAUGAAUCUAUUAAUGACAAACUGUGUCAUGGAAAAUGGAUGAGCCUUGCGAUGAGUGUUAUAAAUGAGGGCAUA
Molecule: long non-coding RNA, 1153 nt
Organism: Eptesicus fuscus (big brown bat)
Lineage: Eukaryota; Metazoa; Chordata; Mammalia; Chiroptera; Vespertilionidae
Exons: 5
Source: RefSeq, a predicted model, not a curated record